This 429-nucleotide ribosomal RNA is filed under the name Triticum aestivum (bread wheat). RNAcentral's name for it is "partial small subunit ribosomal RNA". The record is from RNAcentral. Lineage: Eukaryota; Viridiplantae; Streptophyta; Magnoliopsida; Poales; Poaceae.
AUGGAAUGCAUUUGCAGGCAGAAGCGUGUCCGGCUGUUGUACGAGAAGAAGUGUGCACGGCUGAGGAGCCAGGGCGCCAAUGGUGCGGAGUCGUUCGCCAUCAAGAGGACCAAAGCUGCCAUCAGUGACCACCGGAUCAAGCUCAACAUCUCCCUCGCCUCCGUCAACGCCCUAUUCCAGAGGGUCGUCGCCGUCCAUGAUGAGCCCGCAGCUCGCCGAGCUCAUCCAAAUGCGGGCAAGGAUGUGGCGACUCAUCGGCAACAUGCACUAGGUGAUGUAGCGCAUAGCGGACUAGGCGAGCGUGCUCCUCUCGUUGUGGGCCAUAUGGUUGGAGGGAGGCAUCAAGGGCUCGCUGCUACCGGGGCGGACAAGCGCACAAUUUAUAUUGAUAUAUCUUAUUUUGCCAAACAGCAAGAUAUAUGCUCCUGA